Molecule: non-coding RNA, 24 nt
Filed under: Arabidopsis thaliana (thale cress)
Lineage: Eukaryota; Viridiplantae; Streptophyta; Magnoliopsida; Brassicales; Brassicaceae
Source: RNAcentral
GGUGGUGAUCUCUGUCUUCGUUGC